This 55-nucleotide transfer RNA is filed under the name Dermatophagoides pteronyssinus (European house dust mite). Its description in RNAcentral is "tRNA-Phe". The record is from RNAcentral. Lineage: Eukaryota; Metazoa; Arthropoda; Arachnida; Sarcoptiformes; Pyroglyphidae.
AUGUUUUUAGCUUAUGAAAGCGUUAGCUUUGAAGGGGCUAAAGGUUUAAAACAUU